GACGAACGCUGGCGGCGUGCCUAAUACAUGCAAGUAGGACGCAGUUGCGAACGGGUGAGUAACGAGUAUGUAACUACCUAUUAGAGGGGGAUAACUAUUGGAAACGAUAGCUAAUACCGCAUACUAGUAGAUGUACCUGCGUUGUAUUAGCUAGUAGGUAGGGUAAUGGCCUACCUAGGCAACGAUACAUAGCCGACCUGGGAGGGUGAGCGGCCACGCUGGGACUGAGACACGGGCCAGAAUCCGACGGGGGGCAGCAGUAGGGAAUCUUCGGCAAUGGGGGGAACCCUGACCGAGCAACGCGGCGUGAGUGAAGAAGGUUUUCGGGGCGUAAAGCUCUGUUGUUAAGGAAGCGGUACUUAACCAGAAAGGGAUGGCUAACUACGUGCCAGCAGCCGCGGUAAUUC
This 407-nucleotide ribosomal RNA is filed under the name uncultured bacterium. RNAcentral describes it as "partial 16S ribosomal RNA". It matches the Rfam family "Bacterial small subunit ribosomal RNA", at positions 28 to 526 of the family's 1533-position model. The record is from RNAcentral.